RNAcentral lists this ribosomal RNA (787 nucleotides) under Lepraria neglecta. RNAcentral describes it as "SSU rRNA". It matches the Rfam family "Bacterial small subunit ribosomal RNA", at positions 329 to 1173 of the family's 1533-position model. Lineage: Eukaryota; Fungi; Ascomycota; Lecanoromycetes; Lecanorales; Stereocaulaceae. The record is from RNAcentral.
GGCUGAACCAGCAACUUGGAGGAAUGUAUAGCAAUAGCUGAUUGCACCAACAAAUAGUUGAUGCAAUAUUGACUCUGUCAAAUAAAAUUCUAGGUAGAAUUAUGAUAAUGACAUUGUCUGCCUAUAUGUCUUGACCAAAUUACGUGCCAGCAGUCGCGGUAAUACGUAGAAGACUAGUGUUAUUCAUCUUUAAUAGGUUUAAAGGGUACCUAGACGGUAAAUCAAGCCUUCACAGGGACUAAUUUACUAGAGUUACUUACGAGGGGGUAUUAAAGUACUGCAGGUGUAGAGAUGAAAUUCUGUCAUACCUCUUUUCAAAAGAAAAAUUAUGGCACAGGUAUAGGUGAAAGCAUCCCCUUAUGUGAUAACUGACGUUGAAGGACGAAGGCUUUGUGUCGCGAACAGGAUUAGAUACCCCAGUAGUCAAAGCAGAAAAUGAUGAAUGUCAUAGAUUAGAUAAAUAGUUUAUUCUAUAAAUGAAAAUGUAAGCAUUCCACCUCAAGAGUAAUUUGGCAACAUUGGAACUGAAAUCAUUAGACCGUUUCUGAAACCAGUAGUGAAGUAUGUUGUUUAAUUUGAUGAUCCGCAAAAAACCUUACCACAAUUUGAAUAUUUAUAUCUAUCUUUUUUUUUUCGUAAAAAAAUAAAAAGGUAAUAUAUUUACAAGCGUUGCACGGCUGUCUUCAGUUAAUGUCGCGAGACUUUGGUUAGUUCCAUUAAAUUAACGUAAACCCUUACUUUAUUUUUAUAUGAAGUAGUUCCCCGCUAUAUUGGAUAUGAUAACAGG